UCCAGUCACAACACCAUAAACAAAAGAGAUAUUUAAGUGAAACUUUAAGUAAUGCAGGUAUCAGAUUCUAAUUUUAGUAUCCUCAUUCCAGUAUAAUUUGUGAAUCGCGCUAAUUCUGUGCAUUUAUGAACAAUUAUACUUUAUUAUGUAUUUUCAAGAGAUAGAUGGAUUCUUGAUUAGUA
This is a long non-coding RNA of Amblyraja radiata (thorny skate), 182 nucleotides long. RefSeq lists it as uncharacterized. The transcript has 3 exons. The record is from RefSeq and is a predicted model, not a curated record. NCBI's taxonomy places the organism in Eukaryota, Metazoa, Chordata, Chondrichthyes, Rajiformes, Rajidae.